AAUCAAACGGAGGGUUAUUAUCAUUUUUCACUCAGUUUUUAUCAUAAUAAUUUACCAAUAAUUACCUUAGAGCUAAAGGCCAGUUUGGCAAGAAUAGUGUAAGCUAGAGGGUUUGGCAAGAAUAGUGGUGCCCUUUUUUCUCCUUUUCUUCCUUGGUAAGUGACUUUUGGAACAGAUGAAAACAAAAGAUGUGGUGCAACAGAUGGGAUUGCUCCUCCCUUAAUUAGAGGUCUCAGGUUCGAGCCUUGGGUAUGGAGAGAUUCUUGAUAGGGAGCGAUUCCCCUGAAUGGAGCCCUACGCGGCGCGAAACUGGAUAUAGUCGGGUUCCAUUAAUGUUAGUACCAAACACUGGGUGGGAAACAAAAAAAAAAACUAUCAAAAAGAAAUUAAAAAAUAAACUUUUAAAAACGUGCACGGAGUUUUCUCUUUGUUUAAAGCUAAAUUAAAAAUAAAGAGAAAAGUCAAAUGAGUAAUUAAUUUAUUAAUAUUAGUGUACCUGGAGGCUUAUAAAUAGGAUCCUUCUCCACGAAAGAAAUCACCACACAUUACUCUUCUACUAGCUAAAUGUUAAUUAAUUUGCAAAUAUGGCUCAUGUGAACAAGUUUGCUAUCUUCUUCGUUGUUCUCUUGGCCAUGACUAUUGUUGAUAUGCUUGGAACCUCAAAAUUGCAUGUUAUGGGAGGUUGUGGCGAUCGUUGUGAGACCAGUAGUGAUUGUCGUACUGGCUUUACUCUCUGCUUUAUCUGUGCUGAGAAAACGGACCCGUUCGAUAAUUCUAGACGCAAAACAUGUGGCAUCUUGCCAUUCUAAUAUACAUACAUACAUGCUCCAAAAAUGUGGGUGUUUCUUGUUUAAGUAUUGUGUUUGUAUUUGUGUUCUCCUUUAACAAUUAGCUUGGCGUACGUGAAGAAAUAAUAUAUCUGCUAGCAGAUAUGUGUUUUUGUACGUCUUCUAUAUAUUCCCUUCAGCACUAAGUUUACUAGUGUUCCCUUUGUAUGUCUUUUCCCUUCAACACGUUGAAGAAAAAGAAUAUGAAUAAAGUGUGUUAUUAUUAUGGGUUUA
Lycium barbarum (goji berry) is the source of this 1061-nucleotide long non-coding RNA. RefSeq lists it as uncharacterized. The transcript is spliced from 2 exons. NCBI's taxonomy places the organism in Eukaryota, Viridiplantae, Streptophyta, Magnoliopsida, Solanales, Solanaceae. The record is from RefSeq and is a predicted model, not a curated record.